This 77-nucleotide transfer RNA is filed under the name Candidatus Woykebacteria bacterium RBG_19FT_COMBO_43_10. Its description in RNAcentral is "tRNA-Arg". It matches the Rfam family "tRNA". Rfam says of the family: Transfer RNA (tRNA) molecules are approximately 80 nucleotides in length. The record is from RNAcentral. Lineage: Bacteria; Candidatus Woykeibacteriota. RNAcentral also lists the same sequence under 2 other names.
GCGCUUGUAGCUCAAUCGGAUAGAGCGGCUCCCUUCUAAGGAGCAGGUUGUGAGUUCGAGUCUCACCAAGCGCGCCA